GGUUUGAUCAUGGCUCAGAUUGAACGCUGGCGGGAUGCUUUACACAUGCAAGUCGAACGGCAGCACGGACUUCGGUCUGGUGGCGAGUGGCGAACGGGUGAGUAAUGUAUCGGAACGUGCCUAGUAGCGGGGGAUAACUACACGAAAGCGUGCCAAUACCGCAUUGCCCUUCGGGGGAAAGCGGGGGACCUUCGGGCCUCGCACUAUUAGAGCGGCCGAUAUCGGAUUAGCUAGUUGGUGGGGUAACGGCUCACCAAGGCGACGAUCCGUAGCUGGUUUGAGAGGACGACCAGCCACACUGGGACUGAGACACGGCCCAGACUCCUACGGGAGGCAGCAGUGGGGAAUUUUGGACAAUGGGAACCUGAUCCAGCCAUCCGCGCAAAAGGAUACGGCCUCGGGUUGUAAAGCACUUUGGCAGGAAGAAACGGCACGCGGGAUAAUACCCGUGCAACUGACGGUACCUGCAGAAUAAGCACUGCUAACUACGUGCCAGCAGCCGCGGUAAUACGUAGGUGCGUUAACCGGAAUUACUGGGCGUAAAGCGUGCGCAGGCGGUUCGGAAAGAAAGAUGUGAAAUCCCAGAGCUUAACUUUGGAACUGCAUUUUUAACUACCGAGCUAGAGUGUGUCAGAGGGAGGUGGAAUUCGCGGCAGUGAAAUGCGUAGAUAGUGGAGGUAACACCGAUGGCGAAGGCAGCCUCCUGGGAUAACACUGACGCUCAUGCACGAAAGCGUGGGGAGCAAACAGGAUUAGAUACCCUGGUAGUCCACGCCCUAAACGAUGUCAACUAGCUGUUGGGGCCUUCGGGCCUCGGCAGUAGCGCAGCUAACGCGUGAAGCUGACCGCCUGGGGAGUACGGUCGCAAGAUUAAAACUCAAAGGAAUUGACGGGGACCCGCACAAGCGGUGGAUGAUGUGGAUUAAUUCGAUGCAACGCGAAAACCUUACCUACCCUUGACAUGUCUGGAAUCCCGAAGAGAUCAGAUGCCUCGCAGAACCCGAACACAGGUGCUGCACGGUUUGUCGUCAGCUCGUGUCGUGAGAUGUUGGGUUGAAAGUCCCGCAACGAGCGCAACCCUUGUCAUUAGUUGCUGCAGCAACACCACUUAAUGAGACCGCCGGUGACAAACCGGAGGAAGGUGGGGAUGACGUCAAGUCCUCAUGGCCCUUAUGGGUAGGGCUUCCGCACGUCAUACAAUGGUCGGGACAGAGGGUCGCCAACCCGCGAGGGGGAGCCAAUCCUGAACCCGAUCGUAGUCCGGACGUAGUCUGCAACUCGACUGCGUGAAGUCGGAAUCGCUAGUAAUCGCGGAUCAGCAUGAAACUGCGGUGAAUACGUUCCCGGGUCUUGUACACACCGCCCGUCACACCAUGGGGUGGGUUUCACCAGAAGUAGUUAGCUCAACUCGUAAGGAGGGCGAUUACCACGGUAGGAUUCAUGACUGGGGUGAAGCUGCAACAAGGUAG
This 1469-nucleotide ribosomal RNA is filed under the name uncultured Bordetella sp. RNAcentral's name for it is "partial 16S-23S ribosomal RNA intergenic spacer". It matches the Rfam family "Bacterial small subunit ribosomal RNA". The record is from RNAcentral. Lineage: Bacteria; Pseudomonadati; Pseudomonadota; Betaproteobacteria; Burkholderiales; Alcaligenaceae.